AUUUAUAUUCUAAUCAUUGAAUAAAAGCCGAUAUUAAUUAAAUAAUUCAGUGUAUAUUGCGAGGUCGCAAUAUUUAAGAAGGGGGAGGGAAGAAUUGAAUUUAUAUGGACUGUUGUAGAGAUCAACUUUAUACUUGAAGUUAACUGAUAUUGGAUGAGUUGUAAAAAUUUUCUGAUUGAUUCAGAAUACUGAUGAGUUAUAUUUUGAGAAUUGUUUUCUUCAAAUAGAAUUAUUUGAUGUGGAUUAUUCUUUCAGUUUGUAUGUAUGAUAAUGACGGGACGUCAUUUUCUAAGGUGGGGAAGUGUGUAACAGGAUGGAUAAUUUGAGUGUCUUGAUACAUUUUUGGUUGUUUGAGUUGUUUCCCUUGGUUUCCCGCAAUUUUGAUCAUGUGACUAGUUUUGUCUUUGUUGAAGCGGCUUUGUAAAAUUUAAGUUCAGACAUUUUCUUAGUGUUUUAAAUUUAUUUAAAAUUUGGAUUAUUGAUAGUUGAAAUUACAGCACAGAGAGUUUGGUUGUAUGUGUGUUUUGGAGAAGAUGAUGUAAUAUGAUAUAAUUGUACAUUCAGUUCCACAAACUGAGUGUUGAUCAAUUCGAUUGAUUGAGAUUUAUUGAAGGUUUAUUGACGAUUCAUUGACGAUUGAUUUUGUCGAUAUUUGGAUAUGUAAGAUUGAUAUACAUGUAUGUGUCAGAACUAGAAGAUAAAUAAAUACAUUAGAACUGUG
Molecule: long non-coding RNA, 721 nt
Organism: Ruditapes philippinarum (Manila clam)
Lineage: Eukaryota; Metazoa; Mollusca; Bivalvia; Venerida; Veneridae
Exons: 3
Source: RefSeq, a predicted model, not a curated record